Molecule: non-coding RNA, 45 nt
Filed under: Schistosoma curassoni
Lineage: Eukaryota; Metazoa; Platyhelminthes; Trematoda; Strigeidida; Schistosomatidae
Source: RNAcentral
AUCUAGCUGACGAGCCCCAAAUAGGACGGGACACUCGUCCUGGAU